GACGAACGCUGGCGGCGUGCUUAACACAUGCAAGUCGAACGGAAAGGCCCUGCUUGCAGGGUACUCGAGUGGCGAACGGGUGAGUAACACGUGGGUGAUCUGCCCUGCACUUCGGGAUAAGCCUGGGAAACUGGGUCUAAUACCGGAUAGGAGCCAUUUUUAGUGUGAUGGUUGGAAAGUUUUUUCGGUGUAGGAUGAGCUCGCGGCCUAUCAGCUUGUUGGUGGGGUAAUGGCCUACCAAGGCGGCGACGGGUAGCCGGCCUGAGAGGGUGGACGGCCACAUUGGGACUGAGAGACGGCCCAGACUCCGACGGGAGGCAGCAGUGGGGAAUAUUGCACAAUGGGCGCAAGCCUGAUGCAGCGACGCCGCGUGGGGGAUGACGGUCUUCGGGUUGUAAACUCAUUUCGCUAGGGACGAAGCUUUUUGUGACGGUACCUAGAUAAGAAGCACCGGCUAACUACGUG
Molecule: ribosomal RNA, 465 nt
Filed under: uncultured bacterium
Lineage: Bacteria
Description: partial 16S ribosomal RNA
Rfam family: Bacterial small subunit ribosomal RNA
Source: RNAcentral